UCAAACUUGGUCAUUUAGAGGAAGUAAAAGUCGUAACAAGGUUUCCGUAGGUGAACCUGCGGAAGGAUCAUUACUGAAUGUAUGGAGGAUGCUUGAUGCGGUCUCAAAAGGACCAGCUCGGCUCUCUAUUAUCCAAACAAACACACUUGUGAACCCCACUGGAGGGCGGAAAACUGGUUUUUUCCGUCUUGCUUUUUACAAACACUAUAUAAUAAUCUUGAACGUUUUUAUUGCGCCGUCAAAGGCCAUUAAUCGAAUAUACAACUUUUAACAACGGAUCUCUUGGCUCUCGCAUCGAUGAAGAACGCAGC
This 311-nucleotide unclassified non-coding RNA is filed under the name uncultured fungus. RNAcentral's name for it is "partial contains small subunit ribosomal RNA, internal transcribed spacer 1, and 5.8S ribosomal RNA". The stretch from base 1 to 73 matches the Rfam family "Eukaryotic small subunit ribosomal RNA", at positions 1759 to 1831 of the family's 1831-position model. The record is from RNAcentral. Lineage: Eukaryota; Fungi.